RNAcentral lists this ribosomal RNA (392 nucleotides) under uncultured soil bacterium. Its description in RNAcentral is "bacterial SSU rRNA". It matches the Rfam family "Bacterial small subunit ribosomal RNA", at positions 26 to 414 of the family's 1533-position model. The record is from RNAcentral.
AGAUUGAACGCUGGCGGCAUGCUUUACACAUGCAAGUCGAACGGCAGCACAGGGGCAACCCUGGUGGCGAGUGGCGAACGGGUGAGUAAUGCAUCGGAACGUAUCUUCAAGUGGAAGAUAACGCAUCGAAAGAUGCGCUAAUACCGCAUAAUCUCCGAGGAGAAAAGCAGGGGAUCGCAAGACCUUGCGCUUUUGGAGCGGCCGAUGUCUGAUUAGCUAGUUGGUGAGGUAACGGCUCACGAAGGUCUCGAUCAGUAGCCGUCCUGAGAGGGAGCACGGCCACACUAGGAACUGAGACACGGUCCAGACUCCGUACGGGAGGCAGCAGUGGGGAAUUUUGGACAAGUGGGGACCGAAGCCUCGAACACGCAACGCCGCGUGGUGAUAGAAGU